RNAcentral lists this ribosomal RNA (447 nucleotides) under uncultured bacterium. RNAcentral's name for it is "SSU rRNA". It matches the Rfam family "Bacterial small subunit ribosomal RNA", at positions 26 to 518 of the family's 1533-position model. The record is from RNAcentral.
AGAGCGAACGCUGGCGGCAGGCUUAACACAUGCAAGUCGAGCGGGCGUAGCAAUACGUCAGCGGCAGACGGGUGAGUAACGCGUGGGAACGUACCUUUUGGUUCGGAACAACACAGGGAAACUUGUGCUAAUACCGGAUAAGCCCUUACGGGGAAAGAUUUAUCGCCAAAAGAUCGGCCCGCGUCUGAUUAGCUAGUUGGUGAGGUAACGGCUCACCAAGGCGACGAUCAGUAGCUGGUCUGAGAGGAUGAUCAGCCACAUUGGGACUGAGACACGGCCCAAACUCCUACGGGAGGCGGCAGUGGGGAAUAUUGGACAAUGGGCGCAAGCCUGAUCCAGCCAUGCCGCGUGAGUGAUGAAGGCCCUAGGGUUGUAAAGCUCUUUUGUGCGGGAAGAUAAUGACGGUACCGCAAGAAUAAGCCCGGCUAACUUCGCGCCAGCAGCCGC